RNAcentral lists this ribosomal RNA (253 nucleotides) under uncultured prokaryote. Its description in RNAcentral is "partial 16S ribosomal RNA". It matches the Rfam family "Bacterial small subunit ribosomal RNA", at positions 524 to 776 of the family's 1533-position model. The record is from RNAcentral.
UACGUAGGUGACAAGCGUUGUCCGGAUUUAUUGGGCGUAAAGCGAGCGCAGGCGGUCUUUUAAGUCUGAUGUGAAAGCCCACGGCUCAACCGUGGAGGGUCAUUGGAAACUGGAAGGCUUGAAUGCAGAAGAGGAAAGUGGAAUUCCAUGUGUAGCGGUGAAAUGCGUAGAUAUAUGGAGGAACACCAGUGGCGAAGGCGACUUUCUGGUCUGUAAUUGACGCUGAGGCUCGAAAGCGUGGGGAGCAAACAGG